RNAcentral lists this small nuclear RNA (104 nucleotides) under Peromyscus maniculatus bairdii (prairie deer mouse). Lineage: Eukaryota; Metazoa; Chordata; Mammalia; Rodentia; Cricetidae. The record is from RNAcentral.
GUGCUCGCUUUAGGAGCACGUGUACUAAAAUUGGAACUAUACAGAGAUUAGUGUGACCCCUGUGCAAGGAUGAGACGCAAAUCCAUGAAGUGUUCCAUAUGAAA